This 378-nucleotide ribosomal RNA is filed under the name uncultured bacterium. RNAcentral describes it as "bacterial SSU rRNA". It matches the Rfam family "Bacterial small subunit ribosomal RNA", at positions 30 to 410 of the family's 1533-position model. The record is from RNAcentral.
AUUGAACGCUGGCGGCAUGCCUUACACAUGCAAGUCGAACGGCAGCACGGACUUCGGUCUGGUGGCGAGUGGCGAACGGGUGAGUAAUGCAUCGGAACGUGCCAUUGAGUGGGGGAUAACGUAGCGAAAGUUGCGCUAAUACCGCAUAUUCUGUGAGCAGGAAAGCAGGGGACCGCAAGGCCUUGCGCUCUUUGAGCGGCCGAUGUCAGAUUAGCUAGUUGGUGAGGUAAAGGCUUACCAAGGCGACGAUCUGUAGCGGGUCUGAGAGGAUGAUCCGCCACACUGGAACUGAGACACGGUCCAGACUCCUACGGGAGGCAGCAGUGGGGAAUUUGGACAAUGGGGCAACCCUGAUCCAGCCAUGCCGCGUGAGUGAAG